UGUGGUGCACAUGAUGACUCAACUUUUUUCCCCAGCAGAUCGACUCUGUUGACUUUUACCGAAAUAAGCCAAAUAUUCUGAGCUACCAGA
Molecule: small nucleolar RNA, 90 nt
Organism: Triplophysa dalaica
Lineage: Eukaryota; Metazoa; Chordata; Actinopteri; Cypriniformes; Nemacheilidae
Product: small nucleolar SNORD12/SNORD106
Exons: 1
Source: RefSeq, a predicted model, not a curated record